UGUUCCGACGAGACGGCCACACAAAAAAUGUAGCUACCGCACGGUGGGGGUUGCCAGCCAGUAAUAACGUCCGCUGGCUAUACUGAUCAGCAGGUGGAGUGGGGCUUGGAUUUUUUUGCUCUGCGUGCGUCCUGAUGCUCCAGCCGUCUUGUUGGAAGCCGAUCAGGAUCAUCAAAAGGGGUGACCCUGUGCGGCAGGGAAGAAUGCGCCAUCUCUACCAUCUACUUGUUUGGGCAGUCUGAUGCACGGUGACCGGAUUCACCGCAGUUGAAACAAGCGCCACUGAAGCUUCUGUUACUGCAAAAAAGCGGAAGACUAUUAGCCUUAGAAACAGAAAGAUCGUCAUGCGUAGUACUAGUUUGCAGUGUGGUAACUGAUUUAUCUUUUGUUCUGAGAAUAACUUUCAAGGUAAUUUCGGAUCAUGGUUCCAGGAGGCAAGAAUGGCCUGUGGCAAGAUCUAGUAGGCUAAACAGACACUACUUCACCUGUCAGCAUUAGUAAUCAAACAUUAGGUUUCCAUAUACUCCUAUACUAAUGGAUACUCAAGCUUGAUGAAGGAAAUACCAGGUCGCUCUAAGUGAACUACCUAAGGAAGAACCAAUACCUGGGUAGCACGAACCUAGAAUUGCUAACUUUGCUACAUUGCAUAGAAUCUUGCGAAGCUUACCUCUCCCUACCACCGAAGGAUGAUGAGCGACCACCGAAGGAUGGUGAGCCACGGCUGCCAUAAGAUGAUGAGCGGCUACCAAAGGACGAGGAACGGUUUGAUUUUCUCCCACCGCUUGACCAGUCAUCAUCUGACCAACUAUCGUUGUCAGACCUAAAGCUCCUGCCACCACGGCGGAAUCGAUCCUCACUGUCAGU
RNAcentral lists this long non-coding RNA (864 nucleotides) under Sorghum bicolor (sorghum). RNAcentral describes it as "long non-coding RNA (SBIC_LNC000040)". The record is from RNAcentral. Lineage: Eukaryota; Viridiplantae; Streptophyta; Magnoliopsida; Poales; Poaceae.